RNAcentral lists this ribosomal RNA (490 nucleotides) under uncultured bacterium. Its description in RNAcentral is "bacterial SSU rRNA". It matches the Rfam family "Bacterial small subunit ribosomal RNA", at positions 28 to 507 of the family's 1533-position model. The record is from RNAcentral.
GAUGAACGCUAGCUACAGGCUUAACACAUGCAAGUCGAGGGGAAACGGGAAGAUAGCUUGCUAUUUUUGCCGUCGACCGGCGCACGGGUGAGUAACGCGUAUCCAACCUGCCACCUAGUGGAGGAUAGCCUUUCGAAAGAAAGGAUAAUACUCCAUGUACUCCUUUAAGGGCAUCUGCGAAGGAGGAAAGAUUGAUCGCUGGGUGAUGGGGAUGCGUCUGAUUAGGCAGUUGGCGGGGUAACGGCCCACCAAACCGACGAUCAGUAGGGGUUCUGAGAGGAAGGUCCCCCACAUUGGAACUGAGACACGGUCCAAACUCCUACGGGAGGCAGCAGUGAGGAAUAUUGGUCAAUGGACGGAAGUCUGAACCAGCCAAGUAGCGUGCAGGAUGACGGCCCUAUGGGUUGUAAACUGCUUUUAUGCGGGGGUAAAGUGAGUGACGUGUCAUUCAUUGCAAGUACCGCAAGAAUAAGGACCGGCUAAUUCCGUG